This is a non-coding RNA of Gossypium hirsutum (cotton), 146 nucleotides long. Lineage: Eukaryota; Viridiplantae; Streptophyta; Magnoliopsida; Malvales; Malvaceae. The record is from Rfam.
UGUUAAAAAUUUUAUCCAUUUCUAUUGUUAAAAAACGGCAUGGCUAAUAAAAUAACCAAACAGUUACACGUAGCAUCCACCUGUACCUUUUUCUAAGGUACAAUGACCAAUAUUUUUAAUAAUAAAAAUAGAUGAGAUUUUUAACA